AUCCUUUUGUAGUUCAUAAUGUGAUGAUUGAGUGUUCACAGGCAUGUGUGAGAUGUGCCACCCUCAAACCUUGUUACAAGGUCAACACAUUACCCAUUUGACA
Small nucleolar RNA from Macaca fascicularis (crab-eating macaque), 103 nucleotides. Lineage: Eukaryota; Metazoa; Chordata; Mammalia; Primates; Cercopithecidae. The record is from Ensembl.